Molecule: small RNA, 532 nt
Filed under: Vigna angularis var. angularis
Lineage: Eukaryota; Viridiplantae; Streptophyta; Magnoliopsida; Fabales; Fabaceae
Description: Non-protein coding transcript
Source: RNAcentral
CGAUUAGCUACGUCAAUUAUGGAAACAUAACAGCCUGGAACACGUUUUUUUGAGCGUGCAAGGUUGGGGAAUCUUCCCACAAACCAUUCUUUCCGGAUUUUGGGGCUGGAAAAUGGAUUAGGAUGGCCAGAUGUUGGUCUUUUAUUGCUAAAAUACAAUGUCUUGGGUCCUUGCUUGUCUUGGAGCCAUUUCUUUAAAUCCAAAUCAGACUUGGAAGUUAGGAGAGAGGGGAGAGCUUUUUGGUGUGAGGAGAACGAAACUCUAAGUGUGCAGAGGCGUUGGAGCUUGCUUGGUCUACCGAGGAAAGGGAAGAGUUACUCUCUUGGAAGAAGAAGUUAAGAUCUUCAAGAGAUGUUAUUGCAGAUGUGAUGGCUGAUGUUUCUGAACAUGCAUAAAGGAUGAAAGAGAGAUGGGAUAGAUGACUGGGAAUGUAUUUGUUUAUAUUCGAUCCUGACUAUUUAAACGUUUUAUUUUCGGAAUAAUCGGUUUGUAAUAAAUAUCGUACUAUUUUUCCGUUGAGGUUGAAUAUUAA